UGGCCAACGGUCGUCAGGAUCGUUGAGCGCAUGGCGGGAUUUCGCCGUCUUCGUUUCUCUUUCUUCGCGGACGAACACGCGCUGGGGCUGCAACCUUGCAGAAUCCCUGGUCCUUGACUGGAUAUGCGUUAGGGGCUUGUAGCUCAGUUGGUUAGAGCGCGCGCUUGAUAAGCGUGAGGUCGGAAGUUCAAGUCUUCCCAGGCCCACCACACUCAUCGAGUGAGCAUUCGUCUUCUGGUUACGGGGCCAUAGCUCAGCUGGGAGAGCGCGUGCUUUGCAAGCAUGAGGUCGUCGGUUCGAUCCCGUCUGGCUCCACCAGAUGGUUUGAUCACCGGCUGCUCAUACCGUCGUCCGCGAAACAUCACUUCGCACUUACUAGUCCGGAUGGACAGUAAGCUGCGUGAUUUCUGACAUCGUAAAGAGGAGAUCGAUCCGAGUUGGAUCGGGCAACAAGUAAUUGUUGCGCGAUACUUCAUUAUCUCCGGAUCAUUUCGGCGCUCGUGCGUCUUCCAUUGUAGCUCACAAGGCUGCUUUGAAAGACAAGCGAGUUGUAAAUGAUCCUUUUAGCGAAGCUUGACCGCCUCGCUAUCGGAACGAUCUUACGAAGCAAGCUGGUCUUUCUAAUCAUUGUCCGGCUGCAGAUAGCGUUCAUCGAGGGCGCGUGCCGCAAGGUAGUUCUGCAGACAACAUUCUGCCGAGUGUGUGGACAUUGAUAAUGAGAGCAAUCAAGUGC
RNAcentral lists this transfer RNA (733 nucleotides) under Bradyrhizobium canariense. RNAcentral's name for it is "partial 16S-23S ribosomal RNA intergenic spacer". The stretch from base 133 to 206 matches the Rfam family "tRNA". The record is from RNAcentral. Lineage: Bacteria; Pseudomonadati; Pseudomonadota; Alphaproteobacteria; Hyphomicrobiales; Nitrobacteraceae.